Molecule: ribosomal RNA, 234 nt
Filed under: uncultured bacterium
Lineage: Bacteria
Description: partial 16S ribosomal RNA
Rfam family: Bacterial small subunit ribosomal RNA
Source: RNAcentral
CCGGGUGAGUAACACGUAUCCAACCUGCCGUCUACUCUUGGCCAGCCUUCUGAAAGGAAGAUUAAUCCAGGAUGGCAUCAUGAGUUCACAUGUCCGCAUGAUUAAAGGUAUUUUUCGAUAGACGAUGGGGAUGCGUUCCAUUAGAUAGUAGGCGGGGUAACGGCCCACCUAGUCAACGAUGGAUAGGGGUUCUGAGAGGAAGGUCCCCCACAUUGGAACUGAGACACGGUCCAA